CGGUACCUGCAGAAAAAGCGCCGGCUAAUUACGUGCCAGCAGCCGCGGUAAUACGUAGGGCGCAAGCGUUAUCCGGAAUUAUUGGGCGUAAAGAGCUUGUAGGCGGUUUGUCGCGUCUGCUGUGAAAUCCGGAGGCUCAACCUCCGGCCUGCAGUGGGUACGGGCAGACUAGAGUGCGGUAGGGGAGAUUGGAAUUCCUGGUGUAGCGGUGGAAUGCGCAGAUAUCAGGAGGAACACCGAUGGCGAAGGCAGAUCUCUGGGCCGUAACUGACGCUGAGGAGCGAAAGGGUGGGGAGCAAACAGGCUUAGAUACCCUGGUAGUCCACCCCGUAAACGUUGGGAACUAGUUGUGGGGUCCAUUCCACGGAUUCCGUGACGCAGCUAACGCAUUAAGUUCCCCGCCUGGGGAGUACGGCCGCAAGGCUAAAACUCAAAGGAAUUGACGGGGACCCGCACAAGCGGCGGAGCAUGCGGAUUAAUUCGAUGCAACGCGAAGAACCUUACCAAGGCUUGACAUAUACGAGAACGGGCCAGAAAUGGUCAACUCUUUGGACACUCGUAAACAGGUGGUGCAUGGUUGUCGUCAGCUCGUGUCGUGAGAUGUUGGGUUAAGUCCCGCAACGAGCGCAACCCUCGUUCUAUGUUGCCAGCACGUAAUGGUGGGAACUCAUGGGAUACUGCCGGGGUCAACUCGGAGGAAGGUGGGGAUGACGUCAAAUCAUCAUGCCCCUUAUGUCUUGGGCUUCACGCAUGCUACAAUGGCCGGUACAAAGGGCUGCAAUACCGCGAGGUGGAGCGAAUCCCAAAAAGCCGGUCCCAGUUCGGAUUGAGGUCUGCAACUCGACCUCAUGAAGUCGGAGUCGCUAGUAAUCGCAGAUCAGCAACGCUGCGGUGAAUACGUUCCCGGGUCUUGUACACACCGCCCGUCAAGUCAUGAAAGUCGGUAACACCUGAAGCCGGUGGCCUA
RNAcentral lists this ribosomal RNA (967 nucleotides) under Microbacterium sp. RNAcentral's name for it is "bacterial SSU rRNA". It matches the Rfam family "Bacterial small subunit ribosomal RNA", at positions 473 to 1437 of the family's 1533-position model. The record is from RNAcentral. Lineage: Bacteria; Bacillati; Actinomycetota; Actinomycetes; Micrococcales; Microbacteriaceae.